GUAGGUGGCAAGCGUUGUCCGGAAUUAUUGGGCGUAAAGCGCGCGCAGGUGGUUCUUUAAGUCUGAUGUGAAAGCCCCCGGCUCAACCGGGGAGGGUCAUUGGAAACUGGGGAACUUGAGUGCAGGAGAGGAAAGUGGAAUUCCACGUGUAGCGGUGAGAUGCGUAGAUAUGUGGAGGAACACCAGUGGCGAAGGCGACUUUCUGGCCUGUAACUGACACUGAGGCGCGAAAGCGUGGGGAGCAAACAGGGAUUAGAUACCCUGGUAGUCCACGCCGUAAACGAUGAGUGCUAAGUGUUGGGGGGGUUUCCGCCCCCUCAGUGCUGCAGCUAACGCAUUAAGCACUCCGGCCUGGGAGUACGGUCGCAAGACUG
This 374-nucleotide ribosomal RNA is filed under the name uncultured organism. RNAcentral's name for it is "partial 16S ribosomal RNA". It matches the Rfam family "Bacterial small subunit ribosomal RNA", at positions 527 to 896 of the family's 1533-position model. The record is from RNAcentral.